GGCGGCAUGCCUAACACAUGCAAGUCGAACGGAACUAAGGGGCUUGCCCUUAGUUAGUGGCGGACGGGUGAGUAACGCGUGAGCAACCUGCCUUUCAGUGGGGAAUAAUAUCCUGAAAAGGGUACUAAUACCGCAUAACGUAACGAGAUCGCAUGGUUUUGUUACCAAAGAUUUAUCGCUGAGAGAUGGGGCUCGCGUCCGAUUAGCCAGUUGGUGGGGUAACGGCCUACCAAAGCUACGAUCGGUAGCCGGACUGAGAGGUUGAACGGCCACAUUGGGACUGAGACACGGCCCAGACUCCUACGGGAGGCAGCAGUGGGGGAUAUUGCGCAAUGGGGGAAACCCUGACGCAGCAAUGCCGCGUGAAGGAUGAAGGUCUUCGGAUUGUAAACUUCUUUUGUCAGGGACGAAAAUUGACGGUACCUGACGAAUAAGCUCCGGCUAACUACGUGCCAGCAGCGGC
Molecule: ribosomal RNA, 463 nt
Filed under: uncultured bacterium
Lineage: Bacteria
Description: bacterial SSU rRNA
Rfam family: Bacterial small subunit ribosomal RNA
Source: RNAcentral